AAAUGCGAUAAGUAGUGUGAAUUGCAGAAUUCAGUGAAUCAUCGAAUCUUUGAACUCACAUUGCGCCCCUUGGUAUUCCAUGGGGCAUGCCUGUUCGAGCGUCAUUUGUACCCUCAAGCUCUGCUUGGUGUUGGGUGUUUGUCCCGUCUCCGCGCGUGGACUCGCCCCAAAGUGAUUGGCAGCCGGCGUACUGGUCCCGGAGCGCAGCACAUGUCGCGCAAACGAGUGCCUUGGUACGGCGGCGUCCAUAAGCCCCUCUCUCACGCUCUUGACCUCGGAUCAGGUAGGGAUACCCGCUGAACUUAAGC
Molecule: unclassified non-coding RNA, 308 nt
Filed under: plant metagenome
Description: partial contains 5.8S ribosomal RNA, internal transcribed spacer 2, and large subunit ribosomal RNA
Rfam family: 5.8S ribosomal RNA (bases 1-104)
Source: RNAcentral